RNAcentral lists this ribosomal RNA (449 nucleotides) under uncultured bacterium. RNAcentral describes it as "partial 16S ribosomal RNA". It matches the Rfam family "Bacterial small subunit ribosomal RNA", at positions 354 to 796 of the family's 1533-position model. The record is from RNAcentral.
GUCGAGAAUCUUUCACAAUGGGGGCAACCCUGAUGGAGCGACGCCGCGUGGAGGAUAAGGUCUUCGGAUUGUAAACUCCUGUCAUGCGUGAACAAGGUUGCUUGGUUAAUACCUGGGCAAAUUGAUGGUAACGCAAGAGGAAGAGACGGCUAACUCUGUGCCAGCAGCCGCGGUAAUACAGAGGUCUCAAGCGUUGUUCGGAAUCACUGGGCGUAAAGGGUGCGUAGGUGGCGUGGUAAGUCAGAUGUGAAAGCCCGGGGCUCAACCGCGGAACUGCAUCCGAUACUGCCAUGCUAGAGUACUGGAGAGGUGACUAGAAUUCUCGGUGUAGCAGUGAAAUGCGUAGAUAUCGAGAGGAAUACCAAAGGCGUAGGCAGGUCACUGGACAGUUACUGACACUGAGGCACGAAGGCCAGGGGAGCGAACGGGAUUAGAAACCCCGGUAGUCC